CAAACCCCUAGUCGAUCAGAGUUGCUAUGUAUGGUGAAGAAGAAUUCAAAGAUGUUAGGGCAAACCAUAGUGGAAGAUGAAACAUCAGAUGUUGAAACGGAUCCACGUUUCUGGCAUGGCGUUAUGGAUGUGUAUUUCAUUCGUGGAAGGGAGUCUAGGGGGCGUCAGGAGGAUGAUCUUGUAUUCUUUGUAAAAAAAUUGCAUUUGCAGAAACAUGGGUCAAAUGAAAACGAAUCUGCAAACUCUCCAUACUUUGUACGCAGUUGGAUGACUUAAUUGGUGCAAGUGCAUCAGAUGUUGAUUGGAGGCGCUCCUUUUACUUGAACUUAAUUGCUCAAACUUCUUUUAGUGUGACGGUUGCAAUUUGCAGUCAACAGGUCCUUCAGAAUUACCAGACUGGAAAAGACCGGCCACUAUCUCCUAUAUACAAGGUUGUCAAAACAGUCUACGCAUCUCCAAGUCGUAUCAAUUUUCAUUUGGACUCAAGAAAG
This 491-nucleotide unclassified non-coding RNA is filed under the name Hevea brasiliensis (rubber tree). The record is from RNAcentral. Lineage: Eukaryota; Viridiplantae; Streptophyta; Magnoliopsida; Malpighiales; Euphorbiaceae.